UGUGAAAUUGUUGAAAGGGAAGCGCUUGCAGCCAGACUUGCCUGUAGUUGCUCAUCCGGGUUUUUACCCGGUGCACUCUUCUACGGGCAGGCCAGCAUCAGUUUGGGCGGUUGGAUAAAGGUCUCUGUCAUGUACCUCCUCUCGGGGAGAACUUAUAGGGGAGACGACAUGCAACCAGCCCGGACUGAGGUCCGCGCAUCUGCUAGGAUGCUGGCGUAAUGGCUGUAAGCGGCCCGUCUUGAAACACGGACCAAGGAGUC
This 260-nucleotide ribosomal RNA is filed under the name uncultured fungus. Its description in RNAcentral is "partial 28S ribosomal RNA". It matches the Rfam family "Eukaryotic large subunit ribosomal RNA", at positions 398 to 675 of the family's 3401-position model. Lineage: Eukaryota; Fungi. The record is from RNAcentral.